This 477-nucleotide ribosomal RNA is filed under the name uncultured anaerobic ammonium-oxidizing bacterium. RNAcentral's name for it is "bacterial SSU rRNA". It matches the Rfam family "Bacterial small subunit ribosomal RNA", at positions 365 to 832 of the family's 1533-position model. The record is from RNAcentral.
UUCGCAAUGCCCGAAAGGGUGACGAAGCGGCGCCGCGUGAGCGAAGAAGGCCCUAGGGUUGUAAAGCUCUGUCGGGGGUUAUGGAAUGUAGGCUGGCUAAUACCCAGUUUAUUUGACAAAGGCCCCAAAGGAAGCCACGGCUAACUCUGUGCCAGCAGCCGCGGUAAUACAGAGGUGGCAAGCGUUGUUCGGUAUUAUUGGGCGUAAAGAGCACGUAGGUGGUUUUGUAAGUCAGAUGUGAAAGCCUUCUGUUCAAAGGAAGAACGGCAUCUGAAACUGCAUAUCUUGAGUGUAGGAGGGGAGAGUGGAACUUCUGGUGGAGCGGUGAAAUGCGUAGAUAUCAGAAGGAACGUCGGCGGCGAAAGCGACUCUCUGGCCUAUUACUGACACUGAGUGUGCGAAAGUUAGGGGAGCAAACGGGAUUAGAUACCCCGGUAGUCCUAACUGUAAACGAUGGGCACUAAGUAGAGGGGUUUU